AAAAAUCAUGCUAAGAGCAAUAGAUUUUUCCAGUUCAGAGAUGAUCAUUUCCCAACGGUCUAUGAAGAAAAGCACCCACAAUGUCCGAUUCACCACUUAAC
Molecule: long non-coding RNA, 101 nt
Organism: Pteropus alecto (black flying fox)
Lineage: Eukaryota; Metazoa; Chordata; Mammalia; Chiroptera; Pteropodidae
Exons: 3
Source: RefSeq, a predicted model, not a curated record